This 886-nucleotide long non-coding RNA is filed under the name Marmota marmota marmota (Alpine marmot). RNAcentral's name for it is "lncRNA (ENSMMMG00000010644.1)". Lineage: Eukaryota; Metazoa; Chordata; Mammalia; Rodentia; Sciuridae. The record is from RNAcentral.
CAGUGCCUUUGAGGUGCUUGGCCAAGGUGAGGAGUGCCAGCUUUCUUGCACGGCCACUGCCUGGGAGGGACCCUGGGUGGCUGUCCCCUCUGGUGAGCCCCGAGGGAAGCUGCAGGUGUGCUGUGCAGACCUCUCCUGAUGCCCGUCUCCUCUCUCCCACGUUGGCUGUGCCUACAGAUGACGAUGCAGGCGCCGCACCGCUGAAGAGCAGCAGUCACCACGUGAAUGACAAGGGCAAGAAUGUCCGCCAGAGGAACGCCACCUGAGCAGGCGCCCCAGGACUGGAGCCGUGUGCUGGAGCCCCGUGUCUGCGUCUCUGCCUCCAGCAGGAGUCCAUCCCCGUGUUUGCAAGAUCCCAGAUUCUCACCUCUGAGAGAACCCUCGGCCAGAGCGAGCCUGUUACAGAUUGCAGCGUGCCCCUGUGUAGUUGAAACGCAGUAGGUUCUAUGCAUAGAAUUCUGUUAGGUGUUCACCAUUUAAAUGUGUCACUGGAGCCCUGGAGUGUCCGCCUCUCCCUGGCCACGCCUGGGCGUGUGGGUGGGUGGUUGAACCUCCCUAGCCCCCAGUCCAGUCUCCUGCCUGUCUGAGGCCAGUGCUCUGUGUUUGCCCUGGGCUUUGUGGAGAUUUCUUCAUGAAGGUUGCAGGUCUGUGACUCAGUGGCAGCUCAGACCUCUUGAUGGUGGAGGGGGCCUGCCUACCUACCCACUCACCUGCACAGUGACCCCUUCACUCUCCCAAGUGACCCCUACCCCCUCCCAAUGUCUGUGUGCCAGAGGAUGGGACUCCACAACUCCCCAGCUCCAGCGGAGGAUAGCAGCACCCUUUCCAGUGUUGGGCUGGGUGGGAACCCUACAAUAAAGACUGACCCCACCCCGCCUCGUGUUCA